Molecule: ribosomal RNA, 430 nt
Filed under: uncultured bacterium
Lineage: Bacteria
Description: bacterial SSU rRNA
Rfam family: Bacterial small subunit ribosomal RNA
Source: RNAcentral
GUGGGGAAUCUUGCGCUAAUGCGGGAAACCGUGACGCAGCGACGCCGCGUGAGGGAAGAAGGCCUUCGGGUUGUAAACCUCUUUCAGGAGGGACGAAGCUACUCGGGUUAAUAGCCCAGAGGGUGACGGUACCUCCAGAAGAAGCCCCGGCUAACUACGUGCCAGCAGCCGCGGUAAUACGUAGGGGGCAAGCGUUGUCCGGAUUUAUUGGGCGUAAAGAGCGUGUAGGCGGCUAGGUAGGUCCGUUGUGAAAACUCGAGGCUCAACCUCGAGACGUCGAUGGAAACCAUCUAGCUAGAGUCCGGAAGAGGAGAGUGGAAUUCCUGGUGUAGCGGUGAAAUGCGCAGAUAUCAGGAAGAACACCCGUGGCGAAGGCGGCUCUCUGGUACGUGACUGACGCUGAGACGCGAAAGCGUGGGGAGCAAACAGG